Molecule: long non-coding RNA, 489 nt
Filed under: Meriones unguiculatus (Mongolian gerbil)
Lineage: Eukaryota; Metazoa; Chordata; Mammalia; Rodentia; Muridae
Description: lncRNA (ENSMUGG00000008081.1)
Source: RNAcentral
CGAGACAGUUGCAGGCGAGGGGAGUACCCGGGGCCCUUGCCCUGGUGCGGCGCUGCGCCUGAGGACAGUCAGCGCGCUCUAGGUGGGGCGCCUUGGGGCUCACUGGGCCCGUGUGGAAUGGUCUCCAGAGUCUCCGCAUUUGAAUCUGCAGUAGUGGCGCGAGGUAGCCCUUGGGUAAAGCAGCUUUCAGUGAAUUAAAGCAGCUCACAAUCCAACUCAGGACACAGAGGCACCCCAGCUGAAGAUUCUACCACUGGCAAGCCUGUGAACUUGACAUUACAGCGUCUGCUUUGACUUGCACAACCAGGAGACGGCAUUCUUCUCUGAGUCACUAAAUGCCGGUGUGCAUCCUGUACUCCAGCAAGAGAAGAAGGGAGGAGCUUCUUGGAUGACAAUGGACGUUGCACUGUGCAGGAUGAGGGCAGAGUGUGUGACAUCACCACCACGAGGGUUCAGCGUGAUCUUCUGUGUCUCCCUUCCCAGCCAGCA